GGUUCCGUAGCUCAACUGAAUAGAGCACUUGACUACGGAUCAAGAGGUUACAGGUUUGAAUCCUGUCGGAAUCAC
This 75-nucleotide transfer RNA is filed under the name Prevotella denticola. RNAcentral's name for it is "tRNA-Arg(acg)". It matches the Rfam family "tRNA". Rfam says of the family: Transfer RNA (tRNA) molecules are approximately 80 nucleotides in length. Their secondary structure includes four short double-helical elements and three loops (D, anti-codon, and T loops). Lineage: Bacteria; Pseudomonadati; Bacteroidota; Bacteroidia; Bacteroidales; Prevotellaceae. The record is from RNAcentral. RNAcentral also lists the same sequence under 4 other names.